CCUACGGGCGGCAGCAGUGGGGAAUAUUGCACAAUGGGGGGAACCUUGAUGCAGCAACGCCGCGUGGGUGAAGAAGUACUCCGGUAUGUAAAGCCCUGUCAGCAGGGAAGAAAAUGACGGUACCUGACCCAGAAGCCCCGGCUAACUACGUGCCAGCAGCCGCCGUAAUACGUAGGGAGCAAGCGUUAUCCGGAUUUACUGGGUGUAAAGGGAGCGUAGACGGCAAUGCAAGUCUGGAGUGAAAGCGCGUGGGCCAACCACGGGACUGCUUUGGAAACUGUGUUGCUGGAGUGCAGGAGGGGUAAGCGGAAUGCGUAGUGUAGCGGUGAAAUGCGUAGAUAUUAGGAGGAACUCCGGUGGCGAAGGCGGCUUACUGGACUGUAACUGACGUUGAGGCUCGAAGGCGUGGGGAGCAAACAGGAUUAGAUACCCCUGUAGUC
RNAcentral lists this ribosomal RNA (440 nucleotides) under uncultured bacterium. Its description in RNAcentral is "partial 16S ribosomal RNA". It matches the Rfam family "Bacterial small subunit ribosomal RNA", at positions 338 to 795 of the family's 1533-position model. The record is from RNAcentral.